RNAcentral lists this long non-coding RNA (137 nucleotides) under Bemisia tabaci. RNAcentral describes it as "lncRNA ENSSSA2NGG008850". Lineage: Eukaryota; Metazoa; Arthropoda; Insecta; Hemiptera; Aleyrodidae. The record is from RNAcentral.
ACGUACAUAUUUGGACCGUUUGAAGAAACCUUAACCCGCUCGUUUUUCUGCCCAUUCAACAUCACAAUUUAAAGAUUCUGUACCGAGAGAGAUAUCAAACUUGCUUUGGGACUAAUCUUCGGCAAAAUGGGAACGCG